Molecule: long non-coding RNA, 157 nt
Organism: Lagopus muta (rock ptarmigan)
Lineage: Eukaryota; Metazoa; Chordata; Aves; Galliformes; Phasianidae
Exons: 3
Source: RefSeq, a predicted model, not a curated record
UGCCACAGCCCCACAGAGCGGCUCCAGCGCUGGGCUGCCAGCAUCGGUGCUGUGAGGAUGGGAGACCCCUUUGCCUACUGGAGCGGACCCCCAUCCCGCAAUGAAUAUGAAGACAGCCCCCACGGCCCCACCAGCUUCACCCGACCCAGUGCCAAAA